Molecule: ribosomal RNA, 253 nt
Filed under: uncultured bacterium
Lineage: Bacteria
Description: partial 16S ribosomal RNA
Rfam family: Bacterial small subunit ribosomal RNA
Source: RNAcentral
UACGGGGGGGGCAAGCGUUGUUCGGAAUUACUGGGCGUAAAGGGCUCGUAGGCGGCCAACUAAGUCCGACGUGAAAUCCCUCGGCUUAACCGGGGAACUGCGUCUGAUACUGGAUGGCUUGAGUUCGGGAGAGGGAUGCGGAAUUCCAGGUGUAGCGGUGAAAUGCGUAGAUAUCUGGAGGAACACCGGUGGCGAAGGCGGCAUCCUGGACCGACACUGACACUGAGGAGCGAAAGCCAGGGGAGCAAACGGG